CAUCCGGUGGCCACAGAGCAACUUCCUCUAGAGGGAGCUGAUUGGAGCCGGUUGCCGCUGGCACCUCUAUGAUCACUGGAGUCUCGCGGGUCCCUCAGGCAGCACAGGGACAAGCAAAGGCUACAUCCAGAUGCCAGGAAUGCACUGACGCCUGUUCCUGGAAGCCGAGCUCCCACUCAGCCCCUGGGAGCAGCAGCCGCCAGCCCCUCGGGACCUCUCUCUCUGCCCUGCUGAGCCACCCGGGUUGGGCCAGGAUCCUGGCAGGCUGACCCCGUCCUCCACUGAGACCUGAAAAAUGGCUUCGGGACAAGGCCCAGGUCCUCCCAGGCAGGAAUGCGGAGAGCCUGCCCUGCCCUCUGCUUCUGAGGAGCAGGUAGCCCGGGACACAGAGGAGGUUUUCCGCAGCUACGUUUUUUACCGCCAUCAGCAGGAACAGGAGGCUGAAGGGGCGGCUGCCCCUGCCGACCCAGAGAUGGACACCUUGCCCUUGCAACCUAGCAGCACCAUGGGGCAGGUGGGACGGCAGCUCGCCAUCAUCGGGGACGACAUCAACAGACGCUAUGACUCAGAGUUCCAGACCAUGCUGCAGCACCUGCAGCCCACGGCAGAGAACGCCUAUGAGUACUUCACCAAGAUUGCCUCCAGGUACCCCUGCCGGCUCCAGUCACUCCCCUGUCCUGUCACAACCACACCAUACCCUGCCUGCAUGAUGCGCUCCUGGCAUGGGGAGAUGCCUUCUGUCAGUCAGUGUCCAGUGUCUGCUGUGAACUCACAUGUGGUCUCAGCCCCCUGUUUUUCUCUCUCGGGGUCCCAGACUCGUCUUGUGGGCAUUAGCUCACAGCUCUUUUGAUCUCUGACUCCAAGGACUUGACUGGUUAGAUCAGGACUCUAGAGGGGGCCUGAGGUGGGGAUGUUGCCCACAGCUCCCCGGCCCAGCUGGGACACAGCUAUCCUUCAUGGUUCCAAUUUGACACCACAUAUCACACUGAAGAUGGUAAGGGUGCUAACCUCUGCCAGGUCCUAGAAAUGGCUCCUAGUUGCUAUAAUCUGGCAUCCAAGUGGUUAAAGACACCAAAUAUUUGGGUGUAAAUCCAAGCUUUGCCCCUUCUGCCUUUGUGAAACUUCCUAGCCCUUAGUCUCCUGGUUUGUAAAAUAGGGAAAAUAUGCUUAGCUCAGUGUCCUCCUUACAAAGUGUUAGCCAUUGCUACCACCAGAGUUAGGGAGGUCAGUGUCGGGGUAGAUUGAAGCGGGAGGUGAAGGUAGGAGUGAUGGAUUUUAGAAUUAGUGCUCAGAGCUGAAAUAUCCAGCCCGUGAACUUAGAGGCCAGCCUUCAUACCACUGUGAUGACAGGAACUACCCUAAUCUUCUCUGUCCUUUUCUCUCUGCCGUCUCUCGGGCUGCCAGGCCAGCAGCAACACCCACAGCCUGUUUGAGAGUGGCAUCAACUGGGGCCGUGUGGUGGCUCUUCUGGGCUUCGGCUACCGUCUGGCCCUACACGUCUACCAGCACGGCCUGACUGGCUUCCUGGGCCAGGUGACCCGCUUCGUGGUCGACUUCAUGCUGCAUCACUGCAUUGCCCGGUGGAUUGCACAGAGGGGUGGCUGGGUGGCAGCCCUGAACUUGGGCAAUGGUCCCAUCCUGAACGUGCUGGUGGUUCUGGGUGUGGUUCUGUUGGGCCAGUUUGUGGUACGAAGAUUCUUCAAAUCAUGACUCCCAAGGGUGCCCUUUGGGGUCCCAGCUCAGACUCCUGCCUGGACUUAAGCCAAGUUUUUGCCUUCUCCGCUCCCUUGCAGGGGUCCCCCCUCAAGAGUACAGAAGCUUUAGCAAGUGUGCACUCCAGCUUCGGAGGUCCCCUGUGUGGGGGCCAGUCAGGCUGCAGAGGCGCCUCAACGUUGCAUGGUGCUAGUGGGCCCUCUCUGGGCCCAGGGGCCGUGGCCUCCUCCCUCGGCUCUCUGGGACCUCCUUAGCCCUGUCUGCUAGGAGCUGGGGAGACUGAUAACUUGGGGAGGCAAGAGACUGGGAGCCACUUCUCCCCAGAAAGUGUUUCAUGGUUUUAGCUUUUUAUAAUACCCUGUGAGAGCUAUUCCCACCAUUCUACCUGAGGCCAGGACGUCUAGGGUGUGGGGGUUGGUGGGUAUACCCUAUGUUCCCCAGGAUUCAGCUGUUAUGGAAGAUCAGAGCCUAAGAGCUGGGACUGGGACUUGAGCCUGGUCCUGGCCCUCCCUAAGCAUCGUGUGUCCCAGGAGCAGGACCUACUAGGAGAGGGGGGCCAAGGUCCUGCCCAACUCUCCCCCUGCUCCCAUUCCUCCCUCCGACCAUACUGCCUUUGCAGUUGGACUCUCAGGGAUUCUGGGCUUGGGGUGUGGGGUGGGGUGGAGUCGCAGACCAGAGCUGUCUGAACUUAGGUGUCAGAAGCCUCCAAGCCUGCCUCUCAAGGUCCUCUCAGUUCUCUCCCUUCCUCUCGCCUUAUAGACACUUGUCCCAACCCAUUCACUACAGGUGAAGGACCUCACCCCCAUCCCUGGGGGCCUUGGUUGAGUGGCCUGCUAAGGCCCCUCCUUGCCUCGACUACAGGGCUUAGGACUUGGUUUGUUAUUUCAGGGAAAAGGAGUAGGGAGUUCAUCUAGAGGGUUUUAAGUGGGAGGACUAUCAACACCACUAGGAAUCCCAGAGGUGGGAUCCUCCCUCAUGGCUCUGGCACAGUGUAAUCCAGGGGUGUAGAUGGGGGAACUGUGAAUACUUGAACUCUGUCCCCUCACCCUCCAUGCUCCUCACCUGUUUAGGUCUCUCCUCAGGGUAGGGGUUAGAGUGCCUUCUCUACUGGGCACAGCCUAGGGUCUUGUGGGAGAGGGGGGAGAAGUUCUUGAUUCAGCCAAAUGCGGGGGGGGGGGGGCAGAUGGAGCCCAUAGGCCACCCCCUAUCCUCUGAGUGUUUGGAAAUAAACUGUGCAAUCCCCUCACCCUGA
Non-coding RNA from Macaca mulatta (Rhesus monkey), 2965 nucleotides. The record is from RefSeq and is a predicted model, not a curated record. Lineage: Eukaryota; Metazoa; Chordata; Mammalia; Primates; Cercopithecidae.